Molecule: small RNA, 775 nt
Filed under: Oryza sativa Japonica Group (Japanese rice)
Lineage: Eukaryota; Viridiplantae; Streptophyta; Magnoliopsida; Poales; Poaceae
Description: misc RNA OsWD40-119
Source: RNAcentral
GGCUCCGGCGGGCGCGCGACGAGAGGAUCGCCGAAGAGGUUGGUCGCGCCCCCCCCCCGGCGCAAAAUCGCUCCGAUCGAUUCCAUUUCACCCCGAUUUCUGCUUCGGAUUCCAGUCUGUUGGUUCCCCCGCUUGAACUCGCAGGAAUGGUGGGAUUGGGGGUUUCGAGGGGGCGCGGGGAUUAGUAGUCCCAGGGUUUAGUGGAGAUGCGGUGCUGAGGGUCGGAGGAUGCUGUGGCGGGGGCGGUUGAAUCGCGUUGCGGCGGAAUCAACAGCUUGGUGCGGCGUGGUAGCAUUGUUCUGUGUUGGCUGGGGAUAGGUGCAGGGUGGUUUUCAGUGGAAUCACGUAUUCAAGGCUUUUUUUAUAUAUAAAAAAACGUGGUCAUGGAAUCAAUAUUAUCAGCACUUUGUAGAGUCUAUGCCGAAUCUUUUGUUGCUUUUGGAAGAAUAUAUGAUGUCAGUUGUUAGUGAUUUUGCACUGAGGUGACUGGUUGAAUUAGGAAAGGUCUAAGCUGCCUGCUAUGAGGUAGGCAAGAAGGCUGCAUGAAUGAUGAAUCAGUCAAUAUCAGAUCACUCUUGCUGGCUAUUUGGUCCCAACUUUUACUAGUUAGAUAAUGUCUUAACGAAUGCUUCCAUGUGUAAUCUAUUUGCCAUAGUAACAGGGCACUAACCAAUCACUUUAGCUGCAACUUUAGGGUUUAUUAUGUUUCCAUGGCUUGAUGGUAACAUUGUCAAACUGAUCCUUCGUGUUGUGCAAUAUAAGCUGAACUGUUGCU